Lupinus angustifolius (narrow-leaved blue lupine) is the source of this 119-nucleotide non-coding RNA. Lineage: Eukaryota; Viridiplantae; Streptophyta; Magnoliopsida; Fabales; Fabaceae. The record is from Rfam.
CGUUGUGAUCAUACCAGCACUAAUGCACCGUAUCCCAUAAGUACUCCACAUUUAUGUAUGCUUGGAUGAGAGUAGCACCAGGAUGAGUGACCUCCUGGGAAGUCCUCUUGUUGCACCUC